Molecule: long non-coding RNA, 244 nt
Filed under: Elaeis guineensis (African oil palm)
Lineage: Eukaryota; Viridiplantae; Streptophyta; Magnoliopsida; Arecales; Arecaceae
Description: long non-coding RNA (EGUI_LNC039216)
Source: RNAcentral
UGGGAUAGUUAAAUCCUAAUAUUUUGAUAUCCUGUCAGUGAGAUGAUUGAAUGCUGAUACUUAUAUCCUGCUAGUAGAGAUUAUGCGCUUGUACUUUGAUUUAGUUGAUAGCUAUCCGAAUGAAAAUAAUAUUUUGAAAAAAAAUUGAUUUAUGAAUGAAAAUAAGUUUACAUUGAUGUUAUUUGAUUAAUGUUGCAUAUUUUGAAUUGAUAUAUUUUACAUGCUUAUUUUUAAUAUAUUAUUA